RNAcentral lists this ribosomal RNA (495 nucleotides) under uncultured bacterium. RNAcentral describes it as "partial 16S ribosomal RNA". It matches the Rfam family "Bacterial small subunit ribosomal RNA", at positions 28 to 507 of the family's 1533-position model. The record is from RNAcentral.
GACGAACGCUGGCGGCGUGCCUAAUACAUGCAAGUAGAACGCUGAAGGAGGAGCUUGCUUCUCUGGAUGAGUUGCGAACGGGUGAGUAACGCGUAGGUAACCUGCCUGGUAGCGGGGGAUAACUAUUGGAAACGAUAGCUAAUACCGCAUAAUAGUAGAUGUUGCAUGACAUUUGCUUAAAAGGUGCAAUUGCAUCACUACCAGAUGGACCUGCGUUGUAUUAGCUAGUUGGUGAGGUAACGGCUCACCAAGGCAACGAUACAUAGCCGACCUGAGAGGGUGAUCGGCCACACUGGGACUGAGACACGGCCCAGACUCCUACGGGAGGCAGCAGUAGGGAAUCUUCGGCAAUGGACGGAAGUCUGACCGAGCAACGCCGCGUGAGUGAAGAAGGUUUUCGGAUCGUAAAGCUCUGUUAUAAGAGAAGAACGAGUGUGAGAGUGGAAAGUUCACACUGUGACGGUAUCUUACCAGAAAGGGACGGCUAACUACGUG